RNAcentral lists this ribosomal RNA (253 nucleotides) under uncultured bacterium. RNAcentral's name for it is "partial 16S ribosomal RNA". It matches the Rfam family "Bacterial small subunit ribosomal RNA", at positions 524 to 776 of the family's 1533-position model. The record is from RNAcentral.
UACAGAGGGGGCAAGCGUUGUUCGGAAUUACUGGGCGUAAAGGGCGCGUAGGCGGCCUUCUAAGUCGAACGUGAAAUCCCUGGGCUCAACCCAGGAACUGCGUCCGAUACUGGAAGGCUUGAAUCCGGGAGAGGGAUGCGGAAUUCCCGGUGUAGCGGUGAAAUGUGUAGAGAUCGGGAGGAACACCGGUGGCGAAGGCGGGUCUCUGGGCAAUUCCUGACGCUGAGGCGCGAAAGCGUGGGGAGCAAACGGG